AUGGACUAUCAACCACUUAUCUCUGCGCUUGAUGUCCGCACCGAGCCCAUCACGGUGGAUCUUCUCUUGUCCCUGGUGGCCAACUUCGACCAGCGGGUCGAGUUAUAUCAUGGCAAUGGUUCUGGUGGCUUCAAGUCUUCAGCAAACUUGGCCUCGCGAGGACGACAGGGAGGUAAAGGUGGCUACUGCAACCAGAAA
This 198-nucleotide ribosomal RNA is filed under the name Triticum aestivum (bread wheat). Its description in RNAcentral is "partial small subunit ribosomal RNA". The record is from RNAcentral. Lineage: Eukaryota; Viridiplantae; Streptophyta; Magnoliopsida; Poales; Poaceae.